UCGCAAGAGGGAUCUAUGGUUAGUGGCGCACGGGUGAGUAACGCGUAGGUAAUCUGCCUUCAGGGCCGGAACAACCAUUGGAAACGAUGGCUAAUGCCGGAUAAGACCACGUAUAGCAAUGUAUGGGGUAAAAGGAGUAAUUCACCUGGAGAUGAGCCUGCGUCCUAUCAGGUAGUUGGUAAGGUAAUGGCUUACCAAGCCUAAGACGGGUAGCCGGUCUGAGAGGAUGAACGGCCACACUGGAACUGAGACACGGUCCAGACUCCUACGGGAGGCAGCAGUGAGGAAUUUUGCGCAAUGGGGGAAACCCUGACGCAGCGACGCCGCGUGGAGGAAGAAGGCCUUCGGGUUGUAAACUCCUUUUGUAGGGAAAGAUGAUGACGGUACCUUACGAAUAAGCCACGGCUAACUCUGUGCCAGCAGCCGCGGUAAGACAGAGGUGGCAAGCGUUGCUCGGAAUUACUGGGCUUAAAGGGUGCGUAGGCGGUUAGAUAAG
This 496-nucleotide ribosomal RNA is filed under the name uncultured Nitrospirota bacterium. RNAcentral's name for it is "bacterial SSU rRNA". It matches the Rfam family "Bacterial small subunit ribosomal RNA", at positions 77 to 587 of the family's 1533-position model. The record is from RNAcentral. Lineage: Bacteria; Pseudomonadati; Nitrospirota.